This 954-nucleotide long non-coding RNA is filed under the name Malus domestica (apple). RNAcentral's name for it is "long non-coding RNA (MDOM_LNC001755)". The record is from RNAcentral. Lineage: Eukaryota; Viridiplantae; Streptophyta; Magnoliopsida; Rosales; Rosaceae.
UGUGGCCUAAAUUUGCUUUUGGUAAAAAUCGAACAUAAGACCUCUCAUUUACAAAUGAAGAAGAAUAUCACUAGACUGUAAUACUAAGUGGAUCGCAUAACUUCAAAGUUCUUAUAAGGUCUGUGCAUUUGGGUUGGUAUAAUCGCAUCCCAUAAUAUAUAUUUUUAUUGUUUGGUAGUAGAUAGAUGCAAGGCAUAAAGAGAUUUAGGUGACAAAUACUAAGCACGCGAGCAUCUUACUCUAUAAUUAAAUGGUAUGUACGUGUCAUUUGUCAAUAUCCAGGGUUAUGUCAUUACCUUGCUUUACCAACAAACACUUCAAGACUCAGGAGGAGGAAUAUAAUAAUGAGAACUUUAACGAAAAACACCCGGUACUGUUCACUUUAACGAAAAACCACAUUUUUACAUUAAAAAGUCAAUCAUGGUACUAUUCACUUUACCCUUUAUUUUGUCCUUAUCAUUAAAACUCAAAGUUUUUAAGCCAUUUUCAUUAAUUUUCCUUAUAAUAUAAGCAUACAGUAUAUUCCAGGGCUCACCACCACUAUCUUUUUCACUAGAAAAAGAUUAUCUUCGGAUUCUUUCCAUCAAAUUCAUCCAAUCAAUCAAGUUGGGCUCUUGAAAUUUGAGUCAAUGAUUACAAACAGGAGGUCUUUUUAAAAGUUAUAAUAAGUCUAACCGUUUGAUCAAAUUUCAAGAACCCAGAUAAGAUGAUUGGGUGAAUAUGGUGGAAGUUGAAUCCCUUUCCUUUUUCACCAUUGUUGUGAUUUGGCUCGACAAAAUAUCUAGGUCAAAUAGGUAUAAAUUUUCAAUUGGUGUUCAGAAAAGAGAAAAGUAAUGUGCACAGGUUAUUUCCCAUAAAAGUUGGGAAAUAUGUUUUUCUUUGUAGUCCCAAUCAGUUUAGGAUUAUGAAAUAAGUUAGUUUUCUCUAUUCUAAAAGGACUUAGGCCCCGUUUGG